Molecule: unclassified non-coding RNA, 301 nt
Filed under: Ascomycota sp.
Lineage: Eukaryota; Fungi; Ascomycota
Description: partial contains small subunit ribosomal RNA, internal transcribed spacer 1, and 5.8S ribosomal RNA
Rfam family: Eukaryotic small subunit ribosomal RNA (bases 1-47)
Source: RNAcentral
AAAGUCGUAACAAGGUUUCCGUAGGUGAACCUGCGGAAGGAUCAUUACAGAAGGUAACCUUUUUGGUUCACUCUUCACAUCCCUUUGUCUACCUACUCUGUUGCUUCCAUGGUGCCAGCCAAGUUGGCUCUGGACAGGUGCUUCACGGCAUCUGUUUGGAAGUGCCCAUGGGCGGUUCCCUUUCCGGUGGCUUUUGUUACUUGGCUUGGGGAACCUUUACACAAAAACCUCUUGUACAUCAAUUUGUCUGAACAAAGUUAUAUAAAAAAUAAAACUUUCAACAACGGAUCUCUAGGCUCUU